UAUGACAUUAUGAGAUUAUGCCACAUCAUCACUUGAAAAUUUAAAUUUUUAUAUAAAUUUUCGGGUGAUGAUGUGCUACAAUUUUAGAAUAUCAC
This is a non-coding RNA of Gossypium raimondii (Peruvian cotton), 95 nucleotides long. The record is from Rfam. NCBI's taxonomy places the organism in Eukaryota, Viridiplantae, Streptophyta, Magnoliopsida, Malvales, Malvaceae.